AUAGCGUAUAUUAAAGUUGUUGCAGUUAAAAAGCUCGUAGUUGAAAUUUGGGCCUGGCUGGCCGGUCCGCCUCACCGCGUGUACUGGACUGGCCGGGCCUUUCCUUCUGGGGAAGCUCAUGGUCUUUAUUGACUGUGUGGGGAACCAGGACUUUUACUUUGAAAAAAUUAGAGUGUUCAAAGCAGGCCUUUGCUCGAAUACAUUAGCAUGGAAUAAUGGAAUAGGACGGCUUUCCUAUUUUGUUGGUUUCUAGGAGAGCCGUAAUGAUUAAUAGGGACAGUCGGGGGCAUCAGUAUUCAAUUGUCAGAGGUGAAAUUCUUGGAUUUAUUGAAGACUAACUACUG
RNAcentral lists this ribosomal RNA (344 nucleotides) under Ascomycota sp. MUT 4926. Its description in RNAcentral is "SSU rRNA". It matches the Rfam family "Eukaryotic small subunit ribosomal RNA", at positions 594 to 945 of the family's 1831-position model. Lineage: Eukaryota; Fungi; Ascomycota. The record is from RNAcentral.